Molecule: ribosomal RNA, 459 nt
Filed under: uncultured bacterium
Lineage: Bacteria
Description: partial 16S ribosomal RNA
Rfam family: Bacterial small subunit ribosomal RNA
Source: RNAcentral
CCUACGGGCGGCAGCAGUGAGGAAUAUUGGUCAAUGGGCGGAAGCCUGAACCAGCCAAGUAGCGUGCGGGAUGAAGGCCCUACGGGUUGUAAACCGCUUUUGCACGGGGAUAACACCCUCCACUUGUGGAGGUCUGCAGGUACCGUGCGAAUAAGGGCCGGCUAAUUCCGUGCCAGCAGCCGCGGUAAUACGGAAGGCCCGAGCGUUAUCCGGAUUCAUUGGGUUUAAAGGGACCGUAGGCGGGCGUUAAAGUCAGCUGUAAAAUCGUGGGGCUCAACCGCGCCCCGCAGUUGAAACGGGACGCCUUGAGUACACAACAGGCAGGCGGAAUUCGUGGUGUAGCGGUGAAAUGCAUAGAUAUCACGAGGAACCCCGAUUGCGAAGGCAGCCUGCCGGGGUGCGACUGACGCUGAGGCUCGAAGGUGCGGGUAUCAAACAGGAUUAGAUACCCCAGUAGUC